GGAAUUAAGGACUGCACGUUGUCCUUGUAACGGGGAUCCAGCAGGGUGGCCACCCAGUAAUCAGCACAAGUUAGAAUGUGGGCAACUCAGCAGUCGUUGCGCAGGCACUUUGGUGACUCUAGAUAACCUAGGACCAAUCGCACGUCCCCGUGACGGCAACGACUGAUUCGGAUGUCUGCCCUAUCAACUUUCAAUGGUACUUUCUGCGCCUACCAUGGUGACCACGGGGAAUCAGGGUUCGAUUAUG
Pelobates cultripes (western spadefoot toad) is the source of this 247-nucleotide non-coding RNA. NCBI's taxonomy places the organism in Eukaryota, Metazoa, Chordata, Amphibia, Anura, Pelobatidae. The record is from the annotation of a GenBank genome assembly.